AGCGGAGCGUGUGGUGUAAUUCGAUGCUACACGAAGAACCUUACCUGGGUUUGACAUGCAAGUAGUAGUGAAGCGAAAGCGGAACGACCCUUCGGGGAGCUUGCACAGGUGCUGCAUGGCUGUCGUCAGCUCGUGCCGUGAGGUGUCGGGUUAAGUCCCGUAACGAGCGCAACCCUUGCCCUUAGUUAUACGUGUCUAAGGGGACUGCCCGGGACAACUGGGAGGAAGGUGGGGAUGACGUCAAGUCAGCAUGGCCUUUAUAUCCAGGGCGACACACACGCUACAAUGGCCGGUACAAUGGGUUGCCAAGCCGUGAGCCGGAGCCAAUCCCGCAAAGCUGGUCUAAGUUUGGAUUGUGGGCUGCAACUCGCCCACAUGAAGCUGGAGUUGCUAGUAACCGCGCGUCAGCCAUAGUGCGGUGAAUACGUUCCCGGGGAUUGUACACACCGCCCGUCACGUCAUGGAAGCUGGCAACACCUAAAGCCGGUACGCUAACCCGAAAGGGAGGCCGC
This 512-nucleotide ribosomal RNA is filed under the name uncultured organism. RNAcentral describes it as "bacterial SSU rRNA". It matches the Rfam family "Bacterial small subunit ribosomal RNA", at positions 931 to 1453 of the family's 1533-position model. The record is from RNAcentral.